RNAcentral lists this ribosomal RNA (274 nucleotides) under uncultured bacterium. RNAcentral describes it as "partial 16S ribosomal RNA". It matches the Rfam family "Bacterial small subunit ribosomal RNA", at positions 523 to 796 of the family's 1533-position model. The record is from RNAcentral.
AUACGGAGGGGGCUAGCGUUGUUCGGAAUUACUGGGCGUAAAGCGCGCGUAGGCGGUCCGCGUAGUCAGGCGUGAAAGCCCCGGGCUCAACCUGGGAACUGCGUUUGAUACUGGCGGGCUAGAGUCCGGGAGAGGGUAGUGGAAUUCCCAGUGUAGAGGUGAAAUUCGUAGAUAUUGGGAAGAACACCAGUGGCGAAGGCGGCUACCUGGACCGGUACUGACGCUGAGGUGCGAAAGCGUGGGGAGCAAACAGGAUUAGAAACCCCAGUAGUCC